Molecule: ribosomal RNA, 406 nt
Filed under: uncultured bacterium
Lineage: Bacteria
Description: partial 16S ribosomal RNA
Rfam family: Bacterial small subunit ribosomal RNA
Source: RNAcentral
AUUGAACGCUGGCGGCAGGCCUAACACAUGCAAGUCGAACGAGUGGCAGACGGGUGAGUCAUGUCUGGGAAACUGCCUGAUGGAGGGGGAUAACUACUGGAAACGGUCGCUAAUACCGCAUACCAUCGGAUGUGCCCAGAUGGGAUUGGCUGGUUGGUGGGGUAACGGCUCACGAAGGCGACGCUCCCUAGCUGGUCUGAGAGGAGGACCAGCCCUACUGGGACUGAGAUACAGGCCAGACUCCUACGGUAGGCAGCCGGGGGGAAUAUGGCACAAUGGGCGCAAGCCUGAUGCAGCCAUGCCGCGUGUAGGAAGAAGGCCGUCGGGUUUUAAAGUACUUUCAGCGGGGAGGCGUUACCCGCAGAAUAAGCACCGGCUAACUCCGUGCCAGCAGCCGCGGUAAUUC